RNAcentral lists this ribosomal RNA (638 nucleotides) under uncultured bacterium. Its description in RNAcentral is "bacterial SSU rRNA". It matches the Rfam family "Bacterial small subunit ribosomal RNA", at positions 46 to 677 of the family's 1533-position model. The record is from RNAcentral.
GCUUAAUACAUGCAAGUCGUGGGGCAGCGCGGGUAGCAAUACCUGGCGGCGACCGGCAAACGGGUGAGGAACAUGUACGCAACCUUCCUUUAACUGGAGGAUAGCCCCUCGAAAGAGGGAUUAAUACUCCGUAACAUAAUGAUAAGGCAUCUUAUUAUUAUUAUAGCUCCGGCGGUUAAAGAUGGGCGUGCAACUGAUUAGAUAGUUGGCGGGGUAACGGCCCACCAAGUCUGCGAUCAGUAACUGGUGUGAGAGCACGACCAGUCACACGGGCACUGAGACACGGGCCCGACUCCUACGGGAGGCAGCAGUAAGGAAUAUUGGUCAAUGGACGCAAGUCUGAACCAGCCAUGCCGCGUGGAGGAUUAAGGCCCUCUGGGUUGUAAACUCCUUUUAUCUGGGAAGAAAUGUUUCGAUUCUUCGGAACUUGACGGUACCAGAGGAAUAAGCACCGGCUAACUCCGUGCCAGCAGCCGCGGUAAUACGGAGGGUGCAAGCGUAAUCCGGAUUCACUGGGUUUAAAGGGUGCGUAGGCGGGUAGAUAAGUCAGUGGUGAAAUCUCCCGAGCUUAACUCGGAAACUGCCAUUGAUACUAUUUAUCUUGAAUAUUGUGGAGGUAAGCCGAAUAUGUCAUUGUA